Molecule: ribosomal RNA, 440 nt
Filed under: uncultured bacterium
Lineage: Bacteria
Description: partial 16S ribosomal RNA
Rfam family: Bacterial small subunit ribosomal RNA
Source: RNAcentral
CCUACGGGUGGCAGCAGUAGGGAAUAUUGCUCAAUGGGGGAAACCCUGAAGCAGCAACGCCGCGUGGAGGAUGAAGGUUUUCGGAUCGUAAACUCCUGUUGUUAGAGAAGAUAAUGACGGUAUCUAACGAAUAAGCACCGGCUAACUCCGUGCCAGCAGCCGCGGUAAUACGGAGGGUGCUAGCGUUACUCGGAAUCACUGGGCGUAAAGAGCGCGUAGGCGGGUUAUCAAGUCAGAUGUGAAAGCCUAAGGCUUAACCAUAGGAAUGCAUUUGAAACUGUUAUUCUAGAGUAUGGGAGAGGUAGGUGGAAUUCUUGGUGUAGGGGUAAAAUCCGUAGAGAUCAAGAGGAAUACUCAUUGCGAAGGCGACCUGCUAGACCAUAACUGACGCUGAUGCACGAAAGCGUGGGGAGCAAACAGGAUUAGAUACCCUUGUAGUC